Non-coding RNA from Jatropha curcas, 3792 nucleotides. The record is from RefSeq and is a predicted model, not a curated record. NCBI's taxonomy places the organism in Eukaryota, Viridiplantae, Streptophyta, Magnoliopsida, Malpighiales, Euphorbiaceae.
UUUUUUUUUUUUUUUAAAUUCAAAUGUUUUUUGUUUUUCAUAAUAGACAAGUAUAAUGAACGAAACUUUAGCUGCAAAAGGAUAAGUAUGAGAAUCUGAAUUUAAAUGCAUGAAAUAUAAUUUGGACUAGUUACAGAUUACGUUGGUUUUAUUUGUUUACCCAUUGUUGGAAUUAAAGUAUGAAUUGUUAAAUUGAGAGGAAAUAAGUGCAAGGGAAAUGAAAAUAGGUUAGGAAUAUGUAGAUGAAAUGAUUGGCUGUUGGAUCAUCGCUGUUGGCUGUUGAAUGAAAGCUUUUUGCUGUAGGUUUCUAUUAAAGAUGACACUGAAUCAUUUCUUUGGGAUUUGGUUGUAGUUAUAGAAUAUAGUUUUUGAGGGGCUUUGUGACGAUAAUAUGAUAUGGAAAUUUGGUUUUUUGGAACAUAUAUUUAACUCAAAAUGAAGUAAUGUUUUUGAUAAAUGUUGGAAACAACACAUUCAGUCAGGGGCAGACCUAGAAAUUUUGUUCAUAAAAAGCAAUUUCUUAUAAAUGGGUACCUUUAGGAUUAUAUAUACCUAUAUUUCUUAUAAUCAUGCUCAACAAGUUUUGGUAUUUUAAGUAUUUUAUAUGAUUGUUGUAUUGUCAAUGAUAUAAGAACAUGUUAUAAAAAUAUAUAUAGCUUUAUUAACUUUUUCUAAAUGAAAUCUAUAUUUUUUUUAUUAAUAUUUAUUUUAAAUCUUAGACAUUAAUAAAAUAAUAAGCAUUAACCAAACAAUUCACAUAAUUGGCCUCUCUUAAAACAGAAUCUAGCCGACAUUCAGAUAUCAUUACCCUGUAGACCCAAAUAACAACCUUCUUUUCUCCCUCGAGGGGGAUAAACAGAUAUUUCGUUAUUUUGUUGCUAGCCCAAUGGCUUAUUGUGUUAAUUUAUGAUUUUAUAUUUUUUCAGUGUUUUAAAAGAAUUAGAUUGGAAAAAUUGUUACCGGUCAUUAUGAAUGCUAAGAUGGGAUCCUAAGUUAUGGUUAAACUAUAAAAGUUCUAAAAUUUUGGGCAACCUUGUUUGUUUUUGCUGUUUUUUCUUUUUCCUAAUUUUUUAUAUAAGACAUGCAAUGUAUCAUAUUGAUUUUUUGGCUUCAAAAAUAUCAUUCUAGACUUAUUUCCAAUUGCAAAAAUUGCAAAUAUACAAUUUAUUUUAUAUUAAAGAGUCAAAGGGGAGCAGGGGCAGAGGGAGGGGGGGACUUGGGGGAGCCUGGCCCCCCCAAACUCCAGAAUUUUUUUUUAAAUUUGCCUUAUAAAUUAGUAUUAAAAUUUUUUUUUCUUCAUUUUGGUCCCCCUAACUUUUGAAAAAUUUAUUUUGGCCUCCCGAAAUUCUAAAGUCUAGCUUUGCCCUUGAAGGGGAGUUCCUUUAGUGGUGCUGCCUUACUGUUUUGGUGCAACACUGGCAUUAGAGAGUUCAAGAUGGUGAGAUUUAGCUACCUUAAUAUUGCAACUCAUCUUCAUAAUAGAGAAAGUAAAAUUUCACUCCUAAUUAUUCUCAGUUUGUGCAUGAAAAUCUUGAUGUUGCUAGUGAUAUACUGAUAGAUAUGCUCUCCAGGUUUAUUUGCAAUUAGUCUUAUUGUAUUUUAUUGUGGAUAAAGUAUAUCAAGAGCCUCUUAUAGUUAUGUCUAGGCAAGAGUGUUGUUAAUUGUAAAAUUAGUUCUUAAUCAAUUUUCUCUCUUCAUUCUGCUUAUGAGCUAACAUCAUCCAACUCUUUAAAUUUUAAAAUAAUUAUAAUAGCCAAAAUUGUACAACUUCUAAAUUUUAAAGAUGAAACACGUGCCAUUCAUAAUUACACGAAUGCAAAAUCCCAUAGGUUUAGGACACCUUUAGAAAAUUGAAUAAUCAACACUUCUUCUUUUGAAAUAAAUUACUUAUUUUUUAAAAAAUAUAUAAGGUCUCACUGACCUACUUUGAAGUUUCCACAUAAUAUUAUCUCUUAAAGAUUUUUAAUAGUGAUCAUUAGUUGUGGAUGAAGUUUUGAGUUUUCAGUGUUAUUGACACCAAAUGAUCUCUUUUGGAUUUGCUUGCAAUCUUUCCCAGAUUUAUUUGUUUCUCUCCUUUCUUAUUGCCACUUAGAAACAAGAAAAAAAUUAGUCCUGCAUUUUCUCUUUUUUCAUGAAUUAUCUUUCACGAUUUUUUUUUAUAAUUUUUUAUGGUUAUUUCUGUCUUGUAUUGAUCCUUGUUUUCUUGUUAAGCAUUUAGACUAUUUGAUUCCUUUCACAGUGAUCCUUGAAUACGCAGCAUGCAAUUUCUUAAGAUCAUGCUAUGUGAAGGGAAAACUAUCAGUUCCUGAAUCUUUACUGUUCGGUUCAUGCAAUUCACUUUGUGUAAGGUUGUAAUGCAAAUUUCAUUAAUAUGUGUACCAACAUGGAGGGAAAUCCUAUAUAGGUCCAUAUAACACUUUACACAGGUUAUUACAAUUCCUGUUCAAAUUUUUUGGUUCGUUUUGUUUUUAAGGCACUAAACUAGUGUUUCUAUAUCUCUUAACCAUGGUUGUCAAAAACACAAGGUGAAUUAGGGCACACAAGCUGGAGCCUAGACGCAUGGUGUAGGCACGCACUUGAGGGAUUUGAGGCGAAUAUUUCUUAAGUGUACAUAAAAUACAUUUAUGAUGUUCUCAACUUGUCAACAGUAAUAAUUGAAUGUAAUGGCAUUCUAAAAUUCAUGAUAAGCUGAAAAUUGCAAAGAAAAAUAACUAUAGAAAAUAGUUGAUUACAAGUCAUCUGCCCACUAGAAUGCAAGGAAAUAGUGAAUGCACAAGUUAUGGUCAAAAGCAAAUUAUUUUCACUAAAGCCAUCUACAAGCAAGAUAUUGUUAAGGAUUAGUUGUAAAUAGAGUACUAUUAGGAGUUAGAUUCCUAAUUAGUUUAUGAUUUGUAUUCCUAAAUAGCUAGGUAACAUAGGAAUUCCUUAUAUAUAGACCUAUGUAAUCGAUUGAUGAGAUACAAGAAAUACAAUUACAAUAUAUUCUCUCAACAGAUAUAAAAGACAGCAACCAAUGUAAGUUUCCUUAAAAAUACACAUGAUAUUAAUUCAUCUAUAAUUUGAACAAAAAAGCCCUUCACCUAGAAGUGUUGGUGUUUGCUACUAAGGAGAGAAGAAAGUUCAAUUUGGAAUUAGAUUGCCAAUCACAUUGUGAUAUGUAAGAGUUAAUUUUGUACGCAAUUAUAACUUAUUUUAUCUGUACAGACAGUACCAUCUUGUGGUUGAAACCAAAUUAUUCACACAUAAAGUGAAAAGAUCCAAGCCCUACUGAUAGCUUUUACCCUGAAUUUUGCUACUUCUUGCAAUUUUAUCCCAUGCCUUUUCUUUUAACUAUUUAAUCCUAAUACGUAAACUUAGUUGUAGUUCUACUCUAUCAGUCAACGAUAGAAAAAUAAUAAUAUUUUAUUGACAAAACAAAUAAAAAUAUAUUUUUUUCAUUUCUUUUCUUUCGUUUUACCCUUUUCCUUCUUAGUGUUGUGGUGUGAACAUUAAGGUUUAAUGGUAAAUUUUGGUAUUUUUUGGUAUUUGGUCUUUUACUGUUGGUGUGCAGUGCUGGUGGUGGUGUGGUGUUUUCCAUUUGAAGAGGGAUAAAAAGUGAGAAGGAUGAUGGGAAAGGAGAAAGAGAAGGGAAAGAGUGGAAGCAAUACAAGGGGGGAGAAAGAAAUAUUUAAAAAUUUAAAAUUAAAUUUUUAUUCAGUUGAAUACUGAAUAUUAUUAUUUGUUUCAAAUUUGAUUGAUAGGAUAUAAUAGCACAAAAGUUUGCAGGAUUAAGUAACUUCAAAAAAAAAAAAA